AAAUUUAAUAGGCAAACUUAAGGAAACUUAAGGACGCAAAGCUAUAGGGACUAAAGUAAAAAUUAUGUCAGCCAGUUGCAAAG
This is a regulatory RNA element of Clostridium celatum DSM 1785, 83 nucleotides long. It matches the Rfam family "c-di-GMP-I riboswitch aptamer". Rfam says of the family: GEMM was predicted in a large-scale screen for bacterial structured RNA regulatory elements. Genes associated with GEMM are involved in a diverse array of functions, including chemotaxis regulation, signal transduction, secretion and chitin. The record is from Rfam. NCBI's taxonomy places the organism in Bacteria, Bacillati, Bacillota, Clostridia, Eubacteriales, Clostridiaceae.